This 288-nucleotide ribosomal RNA is filed under the name uncultured bacterium. Its description in RNAcentral is "partial 16S ribosomal RNA". It matches the Rfam family "Bacterial small subunit ribosomal RNA", at positions 334 to 614 of the family's 1533-position model. The record is from RNAcentral.
UGUGCCUACGGGAGGCAGCAGUAGGGAAUCUUCCACAAUGGGCGAAAGCCUGAUGGAGCAACGCCGCGUGGGUGAAGAAGGUCUUCGGAUCGUAAAACCCUGUUGUUAGAGAAGAAAGUGCGUGAGAGUAACUGUUCACGUUUCGACGGUAUCUAACCAGAAAGCCACGGCUAACUACGUGCCAGCAGCCGCGGUAAUACGUAGGUGGCAAGCGUUAUCCGGAUUUAUUUGGCGUAAAGGGAACUCAGGCGGUCUUUUAAGUCUGAUGUGACAGCCUUCGUCUUAACC